This 253-nucleotide ribosomal RNA is filed under the name uncultured bacterium. RNAcentral's name for it is "partial 16S ribosomal RNA". It matches the Rfam family "Bacterial small subunit ribosomal RNA", at positions 524 to 776 of the family's 1533-position model. The record is from RNAcentral.
UACAGAGGGUGCAAGCGUUGUUCGGAAUUAUUGGGCGUAAAGGGCGCGUAGGCGGUGCGGUAAGUCCGCAGUGAAAUCUCUGGGCUCAACUCAGAGUCUGCUGUGGAAACUGCCGUGCUUGAGUGUGGGAGAGGUGAGUGGAAUUCCCGGUGUAGAGGUGAAAUUCGUAGAUAUUAGGAAGAACACCAGUGGCGAAGGCGGCUCACUGGCCCGGUACUGACGCUGAGACGCGAAAGCGUGGGGAGCAAACAGG